CACUGGGAAAGAUCAAGUAACUGCUUGAAGGGUUUGUGUCCUAACACUUGACAGCAAGUUAUUUUUGAGAUAUGUCCAUCAACAGUGCAUGGAAGUAGACGCAAGACAGGUAUACUGAGUGACGAAGAGAAGAUUUUCAACCAACCAACCAACCAACCAACCAACCAACCAACCAACCUACUUACCUACCUUCAAGUUUCAGAAGAGCCAAAUUGGCCUACUCUAAAAAGGAGAACUGGGUGUUUUUUUCAAAGCAGCUACAAGGUGCCUUUAAAUGCAACCCUCCCCAAACCACCAAAUGACUUCUUGGCAAGGGUGUAUCAACAGUUUCAUGAGAGAUGGGCUGUGCUGUGAUGCCGCGGUUAUCUCUGUAGCACAGCAGCAGGUCUUACGUGCCCACCAAGGUGGCAUCUUGGCCAGAAUAACCAAACCAGAAAUCCAAGCUCUCCUCGGUAGGAACAGAAACAUACUCCUCACUCAGGGUUUGACUCUGGGUGGCCACAAAUGUCUGGUCAUACGAGACAAUUUGUAUACCGACGCCCAACAGCAUACAAUGGACCUCCGAACCAAGGUCUACCACGAGGAUAAGAAGGACAACUGCACCCAUGCCAUCGCUGUGGUCCUGGUUAAUCCGAUUUGCCUAAUCCUCAUUGGUAUGCAGGGAAUUCAAGGAGGGACCCUGAAUCUGAAAGCUUUCCAGACAGCGAAGUACAUCGAAGAGCAUUUACGGCAAUAAAUAUGCAACAAGCUUCCAAUAUCAUGUCGGUUACCGGCUGCUUUUAUCAGUCCAGUUUGCAAAGGAUGACAUUUUUCUUUCCAUCCUGUUGAAGAGCAUGCAAAAGAGAGGUGGAUCCUGGUAACUUCUAAGGAAGUCUAAGAAAGUGGCUGAUAUUUCAGACCCGAUGAUCUUAAACUUCAUCUUUGAAUGAGCACUUCAGAAUAAACUUCCAUCUACAGCUCCUGCAGGCAGGCGGUAGCAGCUCUCUGGAAGGUCCUACUCAUGACUGGUUCACAUUUAUGAGUCUUUCCAAGAAUGUCUUGAAUCUGCUCGCCUGUCACCCACAGCAAUCCUGUUCCCUAGACGCCACCCUGGAUUUACUCGACAGAUCUUCUAGUCCUACCCAUAUACAGUACACGAACGCUUUUCAAAUCCAUUCCUGACGGCUUCAAUUUCUAUUUCUUCUGAUGCCAGAUGUUUGAUUAGUAGGCUUCCUGAAAACAUUUAUAAAGAGAUUUCCCCCAAAAAUAUAGUUAUUUUGCAGCCUAUAA
Pantherophis guttatus is the source of this 1269-nucleotide non-coding RNA. NCBI's taxonomy places the organism in Eukaryota, Metazoa, Chordata, Lepidosauria, Squamata, Colubridae. The record is from RefSeq and is a predicted model, not a curated record.